Molecule: unclassified non-coding RNA, 107 nt
Filed under: Chryseobacterium indologenes
Lineage: Bacteria; Pseudomonadati; Bacteroidota; Flavobacteriia; Flavobacteriales; Weeksellaceae
Description: Flavo-1 RNA
Source: RNAcentral
UCCUAGCCCCGAUAGAAGCGGUUACCCCACUGCAGGCGCUGGAGAAUAUAAGGGUUAGACGUGGAGCGCAAGGCCGCGAGGAGUAUGAGCGGAUAGCGGGAAAUAGC